UAAGACGUAGGAUGCGAGCGUUGUCCGGAUUUAUUGGGCGUAAAGAGUUCGUAGGUGGUUCAUUAAGUCUGAUGUAAAAGGCACGGGCUCAACUCGUGUAUCGCAUUGGAUACUGGUGGACUGGAGUGCAGUAGAGACAAGCGGAAUUCCCAGUGUAGCGGUGAAAUGCGUAGAUAUUGGGAAGAACACCGGUGGCGCAAGCGGCUUGUUGGGCUGUAACUGACGCUGAGGAACGAAAGCUAGGGGAGCAAAUGGGAUUAGAUACCCCAGUAGUCCUAGCUGUAAACGAUGGAUACUAGGCGUAUCGGGUAUCGACCCCUGAUGUGCCGCAGCAAACGCGAUAAGUAUCCCGCCUGAGUAGUACGGCCGCAAGGUUG
RNAcentral lists this ribosomal RNA (377 nucleotides) under uncultured bacterium. Its description in RNAcentral is "bacterial SSU rRNA". It matches the Rfam family "Bacterial small subunit ribosomal RNA", at positions 521 to 896 of the family's 1533-position model. The record is from RNAcentral.